GGAGGUGUGAGAGGGGGUGUUGGGCAAAGUCUUCCGUGGGGUAUGUGGUGUUUUCUGUCCUUACUGCUAAGUCUUCAGUGAUGUUUCUUAGGAGAUUCACGUGGCCUUCUCAUUCCUUAAAAGGGCUGGCAGGUGUCCCUCUCGUUAGAAGUUUUCUGUUUUACAGAUCUGUUCAAUAUUGCUGACUCCUUGAAAGUAGCUGAAUACUGAGAUUAUCCCCAGUGGGUUCAGAGAAAAGGUAACUGUAAGAGAUUAGGAGCAUUUACCCCUCUCCAAAGGGUAAUUGGCCUAGAAUAUGGUAAUUUUAUGAAAGUUUUACGGUCGCUUAGGAAGGAUGAGGUCCCUCUAGCGAUUGGCCAUAAUGAUUCAUUUCCCCAGUGCUCAUCCUAGAGCCUGACAUGUAGUCGAAACCUGAUGAACGGAGAGAAGGGUAAGGUUCAGAGUGGUCGAGUAACUUAAGCCAAAGGCCAUAUAGCUGGUAAAAGGGAGGCCUGGAGUCAAACCCAGGUUCCUGGAUUCCAGAACACAGGUGUUUAUUCCCUGCCCUAAUGGUUUAGCAUAGCCAGGAGCACACAGUAAGCACAUAAUCCUUAUUGAACUCAUUUAUUUUAUUUCUUAAAGUUUAUCUCUCCUGCCCCAGCCUGGCUAGGAUCAAAAAGCAGGGAUUAAGUUUACAACUUUCCCUUUUUUAAGAAAAAACACUUUGAUUUCGGGCAACGAUGAGUCAUUAUGCCACUGACUUUUGCUAAAUUCGCUGAUACAAGUCCCAUCUCUCAUGGUGCUGUGUUGAAAGGCUGGGGCUUUUAUCCCAGGGCACUUAGGUAGAUAAAGGAAUAAUACAGGCUGAAAAGCUUAACUACUCACUGGGGGAGCAGAAGGCUGAUUAUUCCAGCCACAAAAGAUAUACUUUGGCAGAAGGAAAAAAAAAUUAAAAUCUCAGCAUUAAUAUGUACAAGCUCAACAGUGUUAAAAUUUAUUUUAUAAACACAGUUAUAUUAAAGGUAAUUUUGAUUAAAAAAAGUCUCACAUAAAUGCUAAUACUACUAUUUUCAUUGCUGGGAAUUCCUUCUGAGUCCCUGGUUGAAUGGGGACACAGGUGAGAUGAUAAGGAACUUGAGUUGUAUUCUAUUUUCAUUUAACAUUUUAUUAUAAAUAUACUUUGUUGUUGCUAAAUAUUCAUAAUUACCAUUUUUAUUGACUGCAGAAUAUUGCUGCUGCAUCGUGUGUUAUUUAGCCACGAUACUGUGGUUGGACAUUUAUAUUGUUUUCAGGUUUUCCCAUUUUAGAUCAUGCUGUAAUCAGCCUCCUUAGAUCUUUAGCAUUUUACUUGGGAGCUUCUCCUGCUUUGGUUAAAACCCUCCAUUAAAAACAAAUUUGUUUUAAGCUCUGGGGUACAUGGCAGGACAUGCAGGGUUGUUACAGGUAAAUGUGUGCCAUGGUGGUUUGCUGCAUCUAUCAAACCAUCACCCAGGCAUUAAGCCCAGCAUGCAUUAGCUAUUCUUCCCUAUGCUUUCCUUCUUCCUGACCCCACGACAGGCCCCAGUGUGUGUUGUUCCCCUCCCUAUGCCCAUGUCUCAUUGUUCAGCUCCCA
Molecule: long non-coding RNA, 1591 nt
Organism: Macaca fascicularis (crab-eating macaque)
Lineage: Eukaryota; Metazoa; Chordata; Mammalia; Primates; Cercopithecidae
Source: Ensembl